GAAGUGAUCCCCCAAAGAGACCUCCAGACUCUACCAUGAGUGUCUCCAGCUGAACUCAUCGUGUCUAAUCCUCACCCUAGCUUAUCCUGUUCAAAUCAUUUCCAUCUUUUUCUGGAUGAACCUGGGCGGAUGUCAGACCAGAGAAGAGCACAGAAUGUACCAGAGAGAGUGAGACUCCGUCUCAAAAAAAAAAACAGAAUAUAAGGUGAAGGCCAAGCAGGGUGGCACAUACCUGUUGUCUCACCUACUCAAAAGGCUGAGGCCAGAGGAGGAUUGCUGGAAGUGAGUUCAAAGCCAGCCUAGAGAAUAUAUUGAGACUCUGUCUCUAAAUUUUAUAUAUAUAUGGUGAAUUCACCUUUACCAUGUCUUUUAUGUAUAAGCAAUGGGAUUGAUUAGCAAGUAAUGGGACUCUGAAAUCAAAGGGGUAAAUUUGGGUAAAUCUUUAUAAAUAUAAUAACCUUGAACCCCA
Molecule: small RNA, 469 nt
Filed under: Pan troglodytes (chimpanzee)
Lineage: Eukaryota; Metazoa; Chordata; Mammalia; Primates; Hominidae
Description: processed transcript
Source: RNAcentral